This is a long non-coding RNA of Fundulus heteroclitus (mummichog), 1194 nucleotides long. RefSeq lists it as uncharacterized. Lineage: Eukaryota; Metazoa; Chordata; Actinopteri; Cyprinodontiformes; Fundulidae. The record is from RefSeq and is a predicted model, not a curated record. The transcript has 8 exons.
UGUUCCACCCUAGUUAUUACCACAUAUGUAUGGCAUCAUUGGCUGUGGUCACAGAAACAUCGGCACCGGCAAGAUGGCCGACCACUAAUCUGCUGAUGGAGAACGUGGCUGCAGAGGCCCAGAGCUCACCCAGCACACUCCACACGUGCUUUACAGUUGUGCCUUAACAAGAAGUGUUGAUGAGAUCUGAAAGAACACCAUCCAAGUCACCUGAUGUAUCACAAAAAAAUGGACACCGUUUCUCAGAGACGGCAUUUGAGGUGAAGGUCUUCCUCUCGUGGACCAAGAAGAUCAUUCGGUCCAGACCAAGACGUUCUGUUCCUUUCCCAGAGAUGGUGUUAGAGGUCAAGGUCUUCCGCUCAUGAACGGAGUAGAGAGUUCUUCAGCUCCUGGUUCAAAUCAAGGAUACAAUUCAUGUUGCCACUUCGUGUGCUGGAACAAGUUAUGAAGUGAACCCGGCAAGCACAGAACGAGUUUGAAGUUUUAGAGAAUGGCCUCGAGGACAAGAACGAUGAAGCAGCAAACUGAGUAAACAACUGAAGAGGUUAUGGGGUGUUGAUGCUGCAGAUCCGGUCAAGACGUCUAUGGCUGCAACUAUAAUGGCCAAAAUGAGCAUCAGAGGAAAAAGUGGAAAGGUUGUCUUCAUGAAGAUGCAACUGUACAAGAUACUGUUCUAUGUGACACUGUCUUCAAGUCAUUUAACACAACAACCAAACUUGACGAAAGAAAUGGGGAAGAUUCCCUGCUCCCCUGUUCAGUGUUGCCCAGUUCGCUAUUUUUCGUCAUAAAACUUUGAAUGUUUCAGCUCAGUUUUGUGCAGCUUUUACAAAAUCAUACUGUCUAUUGUCAACUGCUCAAAUCUAAUAUGUCAUUCCAAAUAAUAAAUUGAUUUUUGUUUGACAAGAAAAUAUUAUCUAAAUUUUGGUACAUUUUUAAGUUUUAAGUGCUUCAAAAGAUAAAGGCUUGAAAGUACAGAUUCCUUCAGUUACUAAAAGCAGAACCUAGAAGAUUUCCCUUCUAGGUGCAAUGUUGCCCAAUGUUUGGGCCAUUUUUUAUCAUUAUAGUCUUGGAUAAUAAAGCAGUUUCUAACUUCAUGAAAUGUCUUUUUUAUCUCCCUGGUCUGGGAUUGGAUUCUUCCUUGCUGAUUGUGUGUUGUGAACAUAAUGUGUAAAUGAAAUUAUUUAUCAGACAAAA